CAGCCGCCGCGGUAAGACGUAGGGCGCGAGCGUUGUCCGGAUUUAUUGGGCGUAAAGGGCUCGUAGGCGGUUCGUCGCGUCUGCCGUGAAAGACUACAGCUUAACUGUGGUUUUGCGGUGGAUACGGGCGGGCUUGAGGCCAGUAGGGGAGAUCGGAAUUCUACGUGUAGCGGUGAAAUGCGCAGAUAUGUGGAGGAACACCGGUGGCGAAGGCGGAUCUCUGGGCUGGUUCUGACGCUGAGGAGCGAAAGCAUGGGGAGCGAACAGGAUUAGAUACCCUGGUAGUCCAUGCUGUAAACGGUGGGCGCUAGGUGUGGGGUGGCAUUGGUUCACUCUGUGCCGUAGCUAACGCAUUAAGCGCCCCGCCUGGGGAGUACGGCCGCAAGGCUAAAACUCAAAGGAAUUGACGGGGGCCCGCACAAGCGGCGGAGCAUGCGGAUUAAUUCGAUGCAACGCGAAGAACCUUACCUGGGUUUGACAUCACCCGGAAAGCCUUGGAGACAAGGCCCUCUUCGGACUGGGUGACAGGUGGUGCAUGGCC
RNAcentral lists this ribosomal RNA (541 nucleotides) under uncultured archaeon. RNAcentral describes it as "bacterial SSU rRNA". It matches the Rfam family "Bacterial small subunit ribosomal RNA", at positions 509 to 1050 of the family's 1533-position model. The record is from RNAcentral.